RNAcentral lists this ribosomal RNA (253 nucleotides) under uncultured bacterium. RNAcentral's name for it is "partial 16S ribosomal RNA". It matches the Rfam family "Bacterial small subunit ribosomal RNA", at positions 524 to 776 of the family's 1533-position model. The record is from RNAcentral.
UACAGAGGGUGCAAGCGUAGUUCGGAAUUACUGGGCGUAAAGCGCGUGUAGGCGGUUUGGUAAGUCCUGUGUGAAAGCCCUGGGCUCAACCCAGGAAGUGCGCAGGAUACUGCCUGACUGGAGUGACGGAGAGGAUGGCGGAAUUCCCGGUGUAGAGGUGAAAUUCGUAGAUAUCGGGAGGAACACCUGUGGCGAAGGCGGCCAUCUGGACGUCAACUGACGCUGAGACGCGAAAGCAUGGGGAGCAAACAGG